Molecule: ribosomal RNA, 816 nt
Filed under: Triticum aestivum (bread wheat)
Lineage: Eukaryota; Viridiplantae; Streptophyta; Magnoliopsida; Poales; Poaceae
Description: partial small subunit ribosomal RNA
Source: RNAcentral
AUGGUGGCAUAUGUGGGUGGGGCUUGGCGCCGGUUGCCGGUGCAAAGGGUGUAUGAGAUCUUGGGAGGUAGGCUUGACAUCUCUACGGAUCAACUCCCCGUCCACCCGUAUCGGCUAGAGGAUUUCUUGGUGGUGUUUGCUACUGCGGAGGUUCGGAACAGAGUGGCGGCGUGCCCGUCGGUGGAGUACCAUGGUGACCGGUUGUUCUUUCGGCCAUGGAAUCGGCAGUCGGAGGCAGUUCACUCGGUGUUGGGGUUCAAGGUUUGUAUUGAGCUCGAGGGAAUCCCGCCGCACGCCUGGGCGAGGGAAACUGCUGAGGAGUUGCUGGGCUCAUCGUGCAAAGUGGAUUCGGUGGCGCCGGAGACUAGCUCGAGGGCGGACCUAUCGUCCUUCAAGCUCUCUGCGUGGACGGCAGACCCGGUGGAGAUCCCUACAAUUCGCUGGCUUGCUAUGCCGGAGCCGGGCUCAGAGAUGCCACCGCCAUUGCUGCAGUAUAAGGUGCUCAUUCACGUCGACGCGGUUGCUGAUUACAGAGAAGCAGGGGAGCCGGUGUUCCUAGGUGAAUCUCCAGAUAACGGUCAGAGCGGAAUCCCAGACUCUCAGGACGGUUUUGGCGGCGGCAGUAGCAGCAGCUCCACGCCGCGCAGCCUUGCGUCGCAAUUCGGAGUCCGUGAUUCACAUGGUGGUGGCCAUGGCACCGGCAGUGGCGGCGGGCAGGGCGGCACCAGCGGUCUCAUUCGGAUUGGAGCCUCCCAUCGAUGGACCCCACCCCUGUCAUUCGGAGAGAGCCAGCUGGUCGGGUGUGGGAUAGGUUGA